RNAcentral lists this ribosomal RNA (464 nucleotides) under uncultured bacterium. Its description in RNAcentral is "bacterial SSU rRNA". It matches the Rfam family "Bacterial small subunit ribosomal RNA", at positions 328 to 793 of the family's 1533-position model. The record is from RNAcentral.
GUUCCAGACUCCUACGGGAGGCAGCAGUGGGGAAUAUUGCACAAUGGGGGGAACCCUGAUGCACCGACGCCGCGUGGGUGAAGGAGCACCUCGGUGCGUAAAGCCCUAUCGGCAGGGAAGAAAAGCGAACAGGUUCGCCUGGACGGUACCUGACUAAGAAGCCCCGGCUAACUACGUGCCAGCAGCCGCGGGAAUACGUAGGGGGCAAGCGUUAUCCGGAUUCACUGGGUGUAAAGGGAGCGUAGACGGCAGCGCAAGUCUGGAGUGAAAUGCCGGGGCCCAACCCCGGAACUGCUUUGGAAACUGUGCAGCUCGAGUGCAGGAGAGGUAAGCGGAAUUCCUAGUGUAGCGGUGAAAUGCGUAGAUAUUAGGAGGAACACCAGUGGCGAAGGCGGCUUACUGGACUGUAACUGACGUUGAGGCUCGAAAGCGUGGGGAGCAAACAGGAUUAGAUACCCUCGUAC